UUGAUAUUGUAGAUGGGAAGCAU
Molecule: non-coding RNA, 23 nt
Filed under: Cricetulus griseus (Chinese hamster)
Lineage: Eukaryota; Metazoa; Chordata; Mammalia; Rodentia; Cricetidae
Source: RNAcentral